Molecule: ribosomal RNA, 259 nt
Filed under: uncultured prokaryote
Description: partial 16S ribosomal RNA
Rfam family: Bacterial small subunit ribosomal RNA
Source: RNAcentral
CACGUAGGGGGCGAGCGUUGUCCGGAAUUACUGGGCGUAAAGGGCGCGCAGGCUGUUAUGCGAGUCUGCUGUGAAAUGUACCGGCUCAACCGGUGCCUUGCGGCGGAUACUGCAUAGCUGGAGUACUGGAGAGGGAAGUGGAAUUCCUAGUGUAGCGGUGAAAUGCGUAGAUAUUAGGAGGAACACCAGUAGCGAAGGCGGCUCUCUGGACUGUAACUGACGCUGAGGCACGAAAGCGUGGGGAGCAAACAGGAUUAGA